RNAcentral lists this ribosomal RNA (489 nucleotides) under uncultured bacterium. RNAcentral describes it as "bacterial SSU rRNA". It matches the Rfam family "Bacterial small subunit ribosomal RNA", at positions 28 to 507 of the family's 1533-position model. The record is from RNAcentral.
GAUGAACGCUAGCGGCAGGCCUAACACAUGCAAGUCAGGGGUAACAUAGAAAAGCUUGCUUUUCUGAUGACGACCGGCGCACGGGUGCGUAACGCGUAUACAACCUACCUUUUAGCGGGGAAUAGCCCACGGGAAACUUGGAGUUAAUGCCUCAUAGUAUAUAAGCUUCUCCUGAAGUUUAUAUUAAACAUUUAUGGCUAUUAGAUGGGUAUGCGUCCUAUUAGUUAGUUGGUAAGGUAACGGCUUACCAAGGCAGCGAUAGGUAGGGGUCCUGAGAGGGAGAUCCCCACACUGGUACUGAGACACGGACCAGACUCCUACGGGAGGCAGCAGUGAGGAAUAUUGGACAAUGGGCGAGAGCCUGAUCCAGCCAUGCCGCGUGCAGGAAGACUGCCCUAUGGGUUGUAAACUGCUUUUACAGAGGAAGAACCACCCCCACGUGUGGGGGGUUUGACGGUACUCUGCGAAUAAGGAUCGGCUAACUCCGUG